AACGAACGCUGGCGGCAUGCCUAACACAUGCAAGUCGAACGAGACCUUCGGGUCUAGUGGCGCACGGGUGCGUCACGCGUGGGAACCUGCCCUUAGGUUCGGAAUAACUCCCCGAAAGGGGUGCUAAUACCGGAUAAUGUCUUCGGACCAAAGAUUUAUCGCCUUUGGAUGGGCCCGCGUUGGAUUAGCUAGUUGGUAGGGUAAAAGCCUACCAAGGCGACGAUCCAUAGCUGGUCUGAGAGGAUGAUCAGCCACACUGGGACUGAGACACGGCCCAGACUCCUACGGGAGGCAGCAGUGGGGAAUAUUGGACAAUGGGCGAAAGCCUGAUCCAGCAAGGCCGCGUGAGUGAUGAAGGCCUUAGGGUUGUAAAGCUCCUUUACCCGGGAUGAUAAUGACAGUACCGUGAGAAUAAGCUCCGGCUAACUCCGUG
This 433-nucleotide ribosomal RNA is filed under the name uncultured bacterium. Its description in RNAcentral is "partial 16S ribosomal RNA". It matches the Rfam family "Bacterial small subunit ribosomal RNA", at positions 29 to 507 of the family's 1533-position model. The record is from RNAcentral.